GAGCUAAUGAUGAUAAACAUAAAUAUCUUAGCGGAUUUCAGUGAGAUUUUUAAUCAAUGAUCUGAUUGUUACACACACUGAAGCUCUGAAUAUUUUUUCUUUAAUUAAACGGGAUGUAAAUAAUAAUAGCAAUGAUGAGGUAAAACACAUGAGGAUGUGUUUAGGGCAGUGGACAAUACAAUGAAAGUUGUGUUGCCGUGAUCCCCAAUCUAAACGACUUCUCCUUCCACUGAGCUUU
This 238-nucleotide long non-coding RNA is filed under the name Helianthus annuus (common sunflower). Its description in RNAcentral is "hypothetical non coding rna". The stretch from base 1 to 86 matches the Rfam family "Small nucleolar RNA R11/Z151". Lineage: Eukaryota; Viridiplantae; Streptophyta; Magnoliopsida; Asterales; Asteraceae. The record is from RNAcentral.